This 331-nucleotide ribosomal RNA is filed under the name uncultured bacterium. RNAcentral describes it as "bacterial SSU rRNA". It matches the Rfam family "Bacterial small subunit ribosomal RNA", at positions 28 to 359 of the family's 1533-position model. The record is from RNAcentral.
GAUGAACGCUAGCGGGAGGCCUAAUACAUGCAAGUCGAGCGGUAGAGUGACUUCGGUUGCUUGAGAGCGGCGAACGGGUGAGUAACGCGUACACAAUCUACCUUUAAGAGGGGAAGUAGCCCUGGGAAACUGGGAUUAAUGCCCCAUGGCAUCACGAGACGGCAUCGUUUUGGUGAUUAAAGCUGAGGUGCUUAGAGAUGAGUGUGCGUCUGAUUAGCUAGUUGGUGCGGUAACGGCGCACCAAGGCGACGAUCAGUAGGGGGCGUGAGAGCGUGGACCCCCACACGGGUACUGAGACACGGACCCGACUCCUACGGGAGCAGCAGUAAGG